This 164-nucleotide small nuclear RNA is filed under the name Pelodiscus sinensis (Chinese soft-shelled turtle). RNAcentral describes it as "U1 spliceosomal RNA (ENSPSIG00000020122.1)". It matches the Rfam family "U1 spliceosomal RNA". From Rfam's summary of the family: U1 is a small nuclear RNA (snRNA) component of the spliceosome (involved in pre-mRNA splicing). Its 5' end forms complementary base pairs with the 5' splice junction, thus defining the 5' donor site of an intron. There are significant differences in sequence and secondary structure between metazoan and yeast U1 snRNAs, the latter being much longer (568 nucleotides as compared to 164 nucleotides in human). Lineage: Eukaryota; Metazoa; Chordata; Testudines; Trionychidae. The record is from Rfam by way of RNAcentral.
AUACUUACCUGGCAGGGGAAAUGCCACGCUCAGGAAGGUGGUUUUCCCAGGGUGAGGCCCAUCCAUUGCACUGCGGGUGCGCUGACCCCUGCGAUUUCCUCAAAUAGAGGAAACUCUACUGCACAAUUUGUGGUAGUGGGGGACUGCGUGCGCGCUUUCCCCUG